Microplitis mediator is the source of this 1765-nucleotide long non-coding RNA. RefSeq lists it as uncharacterized. NCBI's taxonomy places the organism in Eukaryota, Metazoa, Arthropoda, Insecta, Hymenoptera, Braconidae. The record is from RefSeq and is a predicted model, not a curated record. The transcript has 2 exons.
UCGAUAUAUGAAAUUAACUACAAAAUAAAAUUUGAAUAACAAAAUAAGAAUUUGCUUGGAAUCAAAAAUCCUCACACUAUUUAAUUAGAAUUUUUUUGCAUUAAAAAAUUUAGUUUAUGCAAAUAUCACCUACUUGGAUAACAACAAAUCAAAUUAAUAAAAAGAUCGUCUCUGAAAAUAUAAUUUUUGUUUUUUAAAUAAUUAUUUAAAUAUAUUAGGCUCAAAAAAAAUUUAUAAUUACCAAAUAUAAUUAUUUUGUGUACAGUAACUAUAUAAUUAGAAUUUAAGUUUAUCAUUGUAUUGAUGAGUUGCUAAUCUUUGUUUGUCAAUAUGCGCGUCUGUUAAAAAUAAAUGAAUUAUAAGAAACAUAAACAAGUUCAAGCUAUAAACAAAUGUUUAAAAUUAAAUUCAUACUUGAUAUCAAAUUCUCGUCUUAGACAGAUCUCAUCAAAGCUCUACAUUAUUUUAGUGAUUUUAUAAAAAUUAUUUACUAGUAUUAAUACUGACAAUAAUAAUAAAUUUUAUACUACAGUUUAAAUCGUCCGAUAAUCGAAUAAUAAAAAUGUCAAAAGUAUUUUUGGUUUUAAUUUUGACAGUUGUGUUGUUAGCUUCUGCUAACUUUCUUACAGCAGAAGGAUGCUAUGGUAAAUCGUGCCGACAAACGGAAGGUAACGGUUGCUGUCCUGGAUACGUAUGUACGUCUACCCCGACUAAGGAUGGAAGCUGCGUUACAAUUGCAGAAUUUAGGGGAAGAAAUGGCAGGAUCGUUCCAUUGAUUGACAAUUUACAUAGUUUUCUUCCUAAAUAAAGUUUUUUUUUUUUUACUAAUAAUUAUUCUAGUGAUUUUAUUAAAUUCGUUGAACUAUCACUUAUUUUUUCUAUAAUAUAUUAGGGUGGUCGUUAAAAAUUAAAUUUUCUCAGGCGCCCCAUAAAAAGCUUCUUUUUAGUGAAAAAAUACGUGGGGAAUUCGGUUAUUUCGUUUUAAGUAAAAAGAACACGUGCCGCGGGAGAUCAAAGUUCAUUUUUCGAUACAAUCGCGGUUUUUUUUAAAUAUCUUAUGAAAUAUGCAGAUUAAUGAAAAAAAUCAUAGGAACAAUUUUGUAGGAAAUUGAAUCCUUGACAAAAAAGGUCAUUUUCAUUUUUAUCAUAAAACGUGUAUUUAUGAAGAUAUUUUAAAAAAACUUUUUUAGAUCUUAUCAAUUGAGCAUUUUAAGUCUUACGAAUGAUAAAAAUAACUUUUUUUUUUUUAAAUAUAGACAACUUCAUAACUCAUAGCAUAUCAAUCCUCAAUACUCGUUAUAGUUUCUAUAUAUUUAGAAAAAUGUUAUUUUCAAAAUUUGUAAUCCUUAAAACGCUCAAUUGAUAAGAUAUAAAAAAAGUUUUUUCAAAAUAUCUUCAUAAAUACACAUUUUAUAGAAAAAAUAAAAAAGACCUUUUUUGUCAAGAAUUUAAUUUCCAACAAAAUUGUCCCUAUGAUUUUUUCCAUUAAUUUGCAUAUUUCAUGAGAUAUUUAAAAAAAACCGCGAUUGCAUCCAAAAAAUGAACUUUGAUCGUCCUGCGGCACAUGUUCUUUUUACUUAAAAUGAAAAAACCAAAUUUUUUUACUAAAAAGAAGCUUUUGAUGGUGGGCCUGAGAAAAUUUAAUUUUUAACGACCACCCUAAUAUAUAUUUUUAACUAAUAGUCAAAUUGUGUUUUCAUUAAAAAUUAUGCUUUAAUUUUUUAAAUUAUGAAAAUAAAUCGAUAUUUUUUGUAAAAUUAACAAA